Molecule: small RNA, 29 nt
Filed under: Bombyx mori (domestic silkworm)
Lineage: Eukaryota; Metazoa; Arthropoda; Insecta; Lepidoptera; Bombycidae
Description: ovarian small RNA-35976
Source: RNAcentral
UGUUAAACAAGAGAGGUGACAAGAUACAC